Molecule: long non-coding RNA, 1546 nt
Organism: Esox lucius (northern pike)
Lineage: Eukaryota; Metazoa; Chordata; Actinopteri; Esociformes; Esocidae
Source: Ensembl
CUGAGUUGGUGACUGUGUCCACCAGAGAAGAUUUUUUGAAGAUGAGCAGUUGAAUCAUAACCCUUCGAAAAAAACAAAUCACUUUUAAUAACGCCUUCCGCUCCACACAUCAAACGCUGUCUUGCAAUUAUAUUCGAGACAUUCACCGAAACAUCAUAGCCUAUUCAGCUGAAGCGCAGCGGUUCUCACUGCGUUAUUUUCCAAGGAUACACGAGGAUACAACAUAAGAAUGUGAACAGUCUUAUUUAUCUGAAGUGAAGCUAUGACAUGGGAAUAAGCAUCCGUUAUGGUCACAUCACGCAAAGCGUCCCAACAUUUUUGGAAACGUGGUUGUACAUGGACUCCUGUCUACCCUGGUUGACGGAACUGAGCAGAGUUGGUGUACUAAACAGUGGUCUCUCAUCAACUAUUUGUGCCAUACUACCGCAGUGUUUACAGGGGCUGACUGAGUGCCGGAAUGUGUGACCCACCUCUACAGUUCAUAAUGAGAUGAUUAUGGAAAAGAGUGAAAUUAUUUGGGUAUUUGUAAAACAGCAGCCACACAUCAAUUAUCAUGUCAGCAGAAUAAGACCCUCUGGAAUUAUUGGAAAGGCGAAACACCAUGCACUUUCAAUACUCUGUGAAGUUCAUCAUAAUUUAUUUACUCUUUAGCCAACUAAAUACGUAAUUUCCCCAGUUGGGGGAGGACAACACAACAAAAUUAUCUUGAGAUUCAAAGUUUUGUUUUAAUAUGAUGAUUAUCACAUGAUUGCACAUAAACACAUUUUCACAUCCAUUUUUCACUUUUUAUUUUUUACUGGAGUUAUGUACUUUGCUAACAUAAAGGGUGCUAAAAUCAUUUCUAGUUAUUUGCCAGGGGAGUCUCCUUGUCUCCAGUUUGAUUCACAUGAUUUCACCUGUGCAGACGCAACUGAUAUUUUAAGAGAUGGUUCAAUCUAAAACUAUAUACGUGUGAAAUGAUGGUGUCGUAUUUUACGAUAGGCCAUUCUUUACUUCUUUCCCUCCCUAGUGUUAGCAUCAUUACAUUGGUCCAAAUUCAUGAAUUGUAACUGUGCAAUCCACAAAAUCUGCACUGCAAGUGGAAAAUGUUGCAAGUGGAAAUAAAGAGUGGCAAAUGUAGUGAUUAAUUUGACACCAGAGCUUCUGACAGAGCCAACAGUUGAUCUCUCCCCUUCACAAAUUUUUUUCUUUUAUCCAUUUCAUUUGCUCUACGAUUGAUUUCAAUCCGUAUUCUAUACUGGUGUGUGUAUUUAUUUUUGUUUUCCUUUUCAGGAGAAAAUGUAAUGGCCACUCAUGCUGGGUGUCUUUUAAAAUCAAUUUUUCCUGUCUUUUGACAGCAUUAAAUGGACAGCUCCAUGAGUGUAUUUCAUAACCCAUUUUUCAUCCCCACCUGUUUUGGUUUUGCUUGUCCGUAUUUUAUUUGUUAGUUUCCUUUUGUUCGAGUGGUUACAUUCUUUGGUUGUUUGUUAGGGAACAUAACACUGACCUUUUCUGUCACACUUACAGGCACAAAAACAUAACUGUAUAAUAAAUGUUUGAUACGCUA